RNAcentral lists this ribosomal RNA (1441 nucleotides) under uncultured Candidatus Pelagibacter sp. Its description in RNAcentral is "bacterial SSU rRNA". It matches the Rfam family "Bacterial small subunit ribosomal RNA". The record is from RNAcentral. Lineage: Bacteria; Pseudomonadati; Pseudomonadota; Alphaproteobacteria; Candidatus Pelagibacterales; Candidatus Pelagibacteraceae.
AGAGUUCGAUUCUGGCUCAGAACGUACGCUGGCGGCACGCCUAACACAUGCAAGUCGAACGAAGUAGCAAUACUUAGUGGCAGACGGGUGAGUAACAUGUAGGUAUCUACCCUUUGGCCUGGAAUAACACGAGGAAACUUGUGCUAAUACCGGAUAAGUCUUUACGGAGAAAGCUUUAUGCACCAUUGGAUGAGCCUGCACUUGAUUAGUUUGUUGGUGGGGUAAUGGCCUACCAAGACUGUGAUCAAUAGCUGAUUUGAGAGGAUGAUCAGCCACAUUGGGACUGAGACACGGCCCAAACUCCUACGGGAGGCAGCAGUGGGGAAUCUUGCACAAUGGAGGAAACUCUGAUGCAGCGAUGCCGCGUGAGUGAAGAAGGCCCUUGGGUUGUAAAGCUCUUUCGUCGGGGAAGAAAAUGACUGUACCCGAAUAAGAAGGUCCGGCUAACUUCGUGCCAGCAGCCGCGGUAAUACGAAGGGACCUAGCGUAGUUCGGAAUUACUGGGCUUAAGGAGUUCGUAGGUGGUUGAAAAAGUUAGUGGUGAAAUCCCAGAGCUUAACUCUGGAACUGCCAUUAAAACUUUUCAGCCAGAGUAUGAUAGAGGAAAGCAGAAUUUCUAGUGUAGAGGUGAAAUUCGUAGAUAUUAGAAAGAAUACCAAUUGCGAAGGCAGCUUUCUGGAUCAUUACUGACACCGAGGAACGAAAGCAUGGGUAGCGAAGAGGAUUAGAUACCCUCGUAGUCCAUGCCGUAAACGAUGUGUGUUAGACGUCRGAAAUUUAUUUUCAGUGUCGCAGCGAAAGCGAUAAACACACCGCCUGGGGAGUACGACCGCAAGGUUAAGACUCAAAUGAAUUGACGGGGACCCGCACAAGUAGUGGAGCAUGUGGUUUAAUUCGAAGAUACGCGCAGAACCUUACCAACACUUGACAUGUUCGUCGCGACUCUAAGAGAUUAGAGUUUUCGGUUCGGCCGGACGAAACACAGGUGCUGCAUGGCUGUCGUCAGCUCGUGUCGUGAGAUGUUGGGUUAAGUCCCGCAACGAGCGCAACCCUCACUUUUAGUUGCCAUCAUUUAGUUGGGCACUCUGAAAGAACUGCCAGUGAUAAGCUGGAGGAAGGUGGGGAUGACGUCAAGUCCUCAUGGCCCUUACGUGUUGGGCUACACACGUGCUACAAUGGUAUCUACAACAGGAAGCAAGACUGCGAGGUCAAGCAAAUCCUUAAAAGAUACCUCAGUUCGGAUUGCACUCUGCAACUCGAGUGCAUGAAGCUGGAAUUACUAGUAAUCGUGGAUCAGCGUGCCACGGUGAAUGCGUUCCCGGGUCUUGUACACACCGCCCGUCACACCAUGGGAGUUGGUUCUACCUUAAGGCAAGGUUUAAAACCCUUGACCACGGUAUAGUCAGCGACUGGGGUGAAGUCGUAACAAGGUAGCCAAGGG